CUUAAGCAUAUCAAUAAGCGGAGGAAAAGAAACCAACAGGGAUUGCCCCAGUAACGGCUAGUGAAGCGGCAACAGCUCAAAUUUGAAAUCUGGCCCCUAGGGUCCGAGUUGUAAUUUGUAGAGGAUGCUUUUGGUGAGGUGCCGCCCGAGUUCCCUGGAACGGGACGCCACAGAGGGUGAGAGCCCCGUCUGGCUGGCCACCGAGCCUCUGUAAAGCUCCUUCGACGAGUCGAGUAGUUUGGGAAUGCUGCUCAAAAUGGGAGGUAUAUGUCUUCUAAAGCUAAAUAUUGGCCAGAGACCGAUAGCGCACAAGUAGAGUGAUCGAAAGAUGAAAAGCACCUUGAAAAGAGGGUUAAAUAGUACGUGAAAUUGUUGAAAGGGAAGCGCUUGUGACCAGACUUGGGCGCGGCGGAUCAUCCGGGGUUCUCUCCGGUGCACUUCGCCGCGUCUAGGCCAGCAUCAGUUCGUCGCGGGGGAAAAAGGCUUCGGGAACGUGGCUCCUCCGGGAGUGUUAUAGCCCGUUGCAUAAUACCCUGCGGUGGACUGAGGACCGCGCAUCUGCAAGGAUGCUGGCGUAAUGGUCACCAGCGACCCGUCUUGAAACACGGACCAAGGAGUCGUCUUCGUAUGCGAGUGUUCGGGUGUCAAACCCCUACGCGUAAUGAAAGUGAACGCAGGUGAGAGCUUCGGCGCAUCAUCGACCGAUCCUGAUGUUCUCGGAUGGAUUUGAGUAAGAGCAUACGGGGCCGGACCCGAAAGAAGGUGAACUAUGCCUGUAUAGGGUGAAGCCAGAGGAAACUCUGGUGGAGGCUCGCAGCGGUUCUGACGUGCAAAUCGAUCGUCAAAUAUGGGCAUGGGGGGCGAAAGACUAAUCGAACCUUUUACUCGCUUGGUUCCGCCGAAGUUUCCCUCAGGA
RNAcentral lists this ribosomal RNA (916 nucleotides) under Trichoderma sp. DV-2018a. RNAcentral describes it as "LSU rRNA". It matches the Rfam family "Eukaryotic large subunit ribosomal RNA", at positions 33 to 978 of the family's 3401-position model. The record is from RNAcentral. Lineage: Eukaryota; Fungi; Ascomycota; Sordariomycetes; Hypocreales; Hypocreaceae.